RNAcentral lists this small RNA (66 nucleotides) under Salmonella enterica subsp. enterica serovar Heidelberg. RNAcentral's name for it is "partial RtT sRNA". It matches the Rfam family "RtT RNA", at positions 1 to 66 of the family's 130-position model. From Rfam's summary of the family: This family represents a bacterial cis-regulatory element known as RtT RNA. The exact function of RtT is unknown although it is thought that it may be involved in changing the cellular response in relation to amino acid starvation. Lineage: Bacteria; Pseudomonadati; Pseudomonadota; Gammaproteobacteria; Enterobacterales; Enterobacteriaceae. The record is from RNAcentral. RNAcentral also lists the same sequence under 3 other names.
AUAUCUCUCCGUACGGGAAGGAUGAGAAGCUUCGACUAAGGUUCGAUUCGAGCGCAGCGAGAACGC